RNAcentral lists this long non-coding RNA (547 nucleotides) under Cyanistes caeruleus (blue tit). RNAcentral describes it as "lncRNA (ENSCCEG00000012751.1)". The record is from RNAcentral. Lineage: Eukaryota; Metazoa; Chordata; Aves; Passeriformes; Paridae.
CUCAGCAACAAUAAUCCUUACAAAGACUACAGCAGAAUAACAGAGUGUGUGAUAUCUGUGAACACCUUUUGUGUUUUGCUCUUAGCUUGCAACUGAACAGAAAACAGACAAAAACUGGACUUCACAAACAGCGCUCAGUCACAAAGGUUUCCACAGUCACAAUAAGAUUUAGGGUAAGGACAGGAUUCUUAUGAACUCACAAGCAGACACAGGGGAGCACAGAUAUUGUGAAGAAGAUGAUAUGAAUAAGAAGACUGUAGAGGGAAAAAAAAAAAAAGUAAAAGAAAAGACAACCAUUUAUAAUUCAGGCUUUAAGUUGAAACCAAGCAAAACUAGACUUUUUUUAAUCCUUACUGGGUCUGCUACAGACUUCUUCUGUGCUGUUGAAAAAAGCUGUCACAAUGCCUAUGCACAACAGGGCUAAUUUAGUCCGUCAUUCCCUAACUUCUAAAUGUUUGAUAUCUCUACCUUAAUGUUCUUUUAAUGUCCUUUGUAUGCAGUAUACAUAUAUAUGGUUACCAUUUAUUAUUAAAAAUUGAUAAAGCAC